AAUCAUGUUGCCGCAGGACAUCAUCAGCGAGCUCAGAAAGCAAGCGAAGGGAUUGAGGUAGCAGACCCUGAAGAGUCCACAGCAGCUGAAAACUCCAUUUCUCCAUAUGCAAGCCCUAAAGUGCAGGAGUUUAUCAGAGGACAGCAGUUCCAAUCUUCACCUUUGGCUAAGGCAAACUUCCAUCCAAGCAGGCUGGAGCAAACAAACUCACAGUCCUGAGGAAGAGCAGACACCACGUCGAAGGGAGAGACUCUGUGGCAUGCAUUUGAUGCAGUGACCGUCAGAGAAUCUCUCCAUUUUGACCCGGCCUCCGAUUCCAUCAUUGGUACGAAGGAUUUUGGAGACCGUGGCAAGAGUAUGAAGCAGGCAAACCAUGCACUUGUGUUCAUGGCUAAAGGGUUGGCCAGGAAGUGGAAAGUGGUUAGGUUAGGUUAGAUCAGGUUAUGUUAGGAUAGGUCAGGUCAGGUCAGAUAAGGUCAGGUUAGGAUUGCCUUAUUUUAAGCUCUCGUCUCCAUUCAAGUACAAAGAACGAGCACUUCCGCGUUCCCCGCCCACAAACCCCUCUUCCCAACGAGUCCCCAAGGUCGCCGGGGGACGAGAGAAGAAGAGGCUGCAGAGUGAAGUGAUUCCACUGUGUUUUGUGCUCAAAAUCGUCCAUAACAUAAACAAUCAAUAACGGACAUCACAGUUUUGUAGUUUGCGGUUUGGUCGUACUGUAGCAAUUCAUCCUCCUCAGGCACGGGUUGGUUAGGUUAGGUUAUGCCUGCUUAGGAUAGGUGGCUUAGGGUAGGCUAGGUUAGCUUAGGUUAAAACCCUUCAGAGAGUCUCUUGGGGCCUUUAGCAGAGCUCGGCUCGGGGAACACGUCGCGUUCACCUCCCAGCCCCUCCACGCUGCGUGACAGUCAGCACGUGGCUCAAGACUCGUCGUCAGGAGCAGGACUAAACAGCCGAUCGUUUAAAGAAUCACAUCGUGCUCAUUUUUUCAAGUGUUGGGAUGAUGUGAGUUGUGCACUUUUGUUUGCUGGUCUCCCUGUGAAUUGCAUGUUUACAUUUUUGAUGAGUGCUUGCCUUCAAGUAGGAUCUGAUGCACUCAGUGUAAAUACAAGACUGAUUUUGUGACACCUGUGAGUGCUUUCAAGAACACUUAUCAGUCUACCACCAGACUGCAACACUGCCCGUGCUGGCGAGGUGCUGCUUAAACUGAGCGGCUGGGCAGUCAGGCGUGCAUUUUGCACUGGCCACACCGACGCAAAGCAUUACCGGUGUUCACCUGACAGCCGCAGGGUGUCCACGGACGUGACCAUGAGGACUGUCCACAGUAGGCCCAAUGACAAGCUGAGGAGUGAAUUUGCUUGCUCUGUGGAGAUUCAGGGGAACCACAAUCGUCCCCUUGGCCCUGCUGAUGCCCUCGGUGAACCAAGGGUGCCCUCAGCUACACCAGAGCUAUUUGAGAGCCAUUUGAACCAAAACCCUUAAGUUAUCAUUAUUAUUAUUAUUAUUAUUAUUAUUAUUAUUAUUAUUAUUAUUAUUAUUAUCAUUAUUAUUAUUAUUAAUUCUUUUUAUU
This is a long non-coding RNA of Scylla paramamosain (green mud crab), 1564 nucleotides long. RefSeq lists it as uncharacterized. Lineage: Eukaryota; Metazoa; Arthropoda; Malacostraca; Decapoda; Portunidae. The record is from RefSeq and is a predicted model, not a curated record. The transcript has 2 exons.